CCUCUGCUGAGAUUCGAAAGCGCUCUCGUAUACAAAGUGAACCCCGUGCGCAUUGAAACGGGAGACAAAGAACCGCGCGGUGUGCAGACCCGGAAUUUUCACCGGGGAGCCUGAAGCUCGGUUGCGUCGCCCACCUGGUUACGCCCAGGGGUUCAACGCGUAGAGAGUGGCACCGAUCACGGCGGUAAG
This 189-nucleotide non-coding RNA is filed under the name Myxococcales bacterium. Its description in RNAcentral is "6S RNA". It matches the Rfam family "6S / SsrS RNA". Rfam says of the family: E. coli 6S RNA was the first non coding RNA to be sequenced, but its function was unknown until recently. It consists of 184 nucleotides that fold into an extended hairpin structure with a large single-stranded internal bulge. The 6S RNA specifically associates with RNA polymerase holoenzyme containing the sigma70 specificity factor. Lineage: Bacteria; Pseudomonadati; Myxococcota; Myxococcia; Myxococcales. The record is from RNAcentral.